UUUAUAGGAAAAUGUUAGCACACCGAAGCAGACUUAAGCUGCAACCCGAUGGCUUUACCUGCUACUAUUCCCACCCACCACAUUUGAAUAAAAAUCUCAGUACAUUUUCACCAACCAAAAGUGGGGCCAACCAAUUCUAGAAUUUUCCACCAAAAUCAUUUAUAACCUAAUUUUCGAAUCAGUCACCUCUUAAAAUUCAU
RNAcentral lists this long non-coding RNA (200 nucleotides) under Panax ginseng (ginseng). Its description in RNAcentral is "long non-coding RNA (PGIN_LNC015847)". Lineage: Eukaryota; Viridiplantae; Streptophyta; Magnoliopsida; Apiales; Araliaceae. The record is from RNAcentral.